RNAcentral lists this transfer RNA (164 nucleotides) under Fusarium poae. It matches the Rfam family "tRNA". From Rfam's summary of the family: Transfer RNA (tRNA) molecules are approximately 80 nucleotides in length. Their secondary structure includes four short double-helical elements and three loops (D, anti-codon, and T loops). The record is from Rfam by way of RNAcentral. Lineage: Eukaryota; Fungi; Ascomycota; Sordariomycetes; Hypocreales; Nectriaceae.
GCGUAAUUGGUUUAGUGGUAAAAUUCUCCGUUGCCAGUCACAUGCCCUUCCUUCCUCGAUCGACAUUGAUACAAUUUUUAACCAAUAAUCUCUUUACGCCAAUAGGGUUCCUUCGGAACCCCAUUUAGCGUAAAGAGCCCUGGGUUCGAUUCCCAGAUUACGCA